RNAcentral lists this ribosomal RNA (320 nucleotides) under uncultured eukaryote. Its description in RNAcentral is "partial 18S ribosomal RNA". It matches the Rfam family "Eukaryotic small subunit ribosomal RNA", at positions 1470 to 1796 of the family's 1831-position model. The record is from RNAcentral.
CCCCUAGAUGUUCUGGGCCGCACGCGCGCUACACUGAACAGUUCAACAAGUUUUAACCUUGGCCGAUAGGUCUGGGUAAUCUUUGAACGCUGUUCGUGAUUGGGAUAGACCUUUGCAAUUAUGGGUCUUCAACGAGGAAUUCCUAGUAAACGCAAGUCAUCAGCUUGCAUUGAUUACGUCCCUGCCCUUUGUACACACCGCCCGUCGCACCUACCGAUUGAAUGGUCCGGUGAAAUCUCGGGACGGCGGCUUGGUCGCUUGCGUCCGACUGCUGAAACUUGAUUAAACCAUAUCAUUUAGAGGAAGGUGAAGUCGUANCA